UACGUAGGUGGCAAGCGUUGUCCGGAAUUAUUGGGCGUAAAGCGCGCGCAGGCGGUCCUUUAAGUCUGAUGUGAAAGCCCACGGCUCAACCGUGGAGGGUCAUUGGAAACUGGGGGACUUGAGUGCAGAAGAGGAAAGCGGAAUUCCACGUGUAGCGGUGAAAUGCGUAGAGAUGUGGAGGAACACCAGUGGCGAAGGCGGCUUUCUGGUCUGUAACUGACGCUGAGGCGCGAAAGCGUGGGGAGCAAACGGGAUUAGAAACCCCCGUAGUCC
Molecule: ribosomal RNA, 273 nt
Filed under: uncultured bacterium
Lineage: Bacteria
Description: partial 16S ribosomal RNA
Rfam family: Bacterial small subunit ribosomal RNA
Source: RNAcentral